UGAUUUCAGCGCCGUGUGAUUCCUCAGCUUUCUGCCCCAUCUACUGCUGCCAGUGCACAUAGAGUGCGCAAGGCAUAUAUGCUUCUCCAAAGAUCGGCAGGUGGGAAGACUGAAACUAGAGAAGGCCAUUCUUAGACAAGCAAAAAGUAUUGCUACAGACUUAGUUUAAUUAUACUCGGAUUUGAUUUUGAUGUGUAUAUAUUGAAUAGGACUAUAGGAGUGAUCUGUCAUUACUGUGGGAUGAAAUAGGGUAGCUAGAAGCUACAUUGUGUGUACAUAUUCACAUUUGUGUAAACAAAUGAAGUAGCUAGAAGCUACAGUUAUGUUCCAAUACAAUGCAUUUAUUUUUUUAA
Panicum virgatum (switchgrass) is the source of this 353-nucleotide long non-coding RNA. RefSeq lists it as uncharacterized. The transcript is spliced from 2 exons. The record is from RefSeq and is a predicted model, not a curated record. Lineage: Eukaryota; Viridiplantae; Streptophyta; Magnoliopsida; Poales; Poaceae.